RNAcentral lists this ribosomal RNA (439 nucleotides) under uncultured fungus. RNAcentral describes it as "eukaryotic LSU rRNA". It matches the Rfam family "Eukaryotic large subunit ribosomal RNA", at positions 1 to 432 of the family's 3401-position model. Lineage: Eukaryota; Fungi. The record is from RNAcentral.
GACCUCAAAUCGGGUGAGACUACCCGCUGAACUUAAGCAUAUCAAUAAGCGGAGGAAAAGAAACUAACAAGGAUUCCCCUAGUAACUGCGAGUGAAGCGGGAAAAGCUCAAAUUUAAAAUCUGGUGGUCUUUGGCCAUCCGAGUUGUAAUUUAGAGAAGCGUCUUCCGCGCUGGACCGUGCACAAGUCUCCUGGAAUGGAGCGUCAUAGAGGGUGAGAAUCCCGUCUUUGGCACGGAUGUACCAGGGCUUUUGUGAUGCGCUCUCGAAGAGUCGAGUUGUUUGGGAAUGCAGCUCAAAAUGGGUGGUGAACUCCAUCUAAAGCUAAAUAUUGGCGAGAGACCGAUAGCGAACAAGUACCGUGAGGGAAAGAUGAAAAGCACUUUGGAAAGAGAGUGAAACAGUACGUGAAAUUGUUGAAAGGGAAACGCUUGAAGUCAG